RNAcentral lists this ribosomal RNA (497 nucleotides) under uncultured bacterium. RNAcentral's name for it is "partial 16S ribosomal RNA". It matches the Rfam family "Bacterial small subunit ribosomal RNA", at positions 28 to 507 of the family's 1533-position model. The record is from RNAcentral.
GAUGAACGCUGGCGGCGUGCCUAAUACAUGCAAGUCGAGCGAACAGACGAGGAGCUUGCUCCUCUGAUGUUAGCGGCGGACGGGUGAGUAACACGUGGAUAACCUACCUAUAAGACUGGGAUAACUUCGGGAAACCGGAGCUAAUACCGGAUAACAUGUUGAACCGCAUGGUUCAACAGUGAAAGACGGUCUUGUUGUCACUUAUAGAUGGAUCCGCGCCGCAUUAGCUAGUUGGUAAGGUAACGGCUUACCAAGGCAACGAUGCGUAGCCGACCUGAGAGGGUGAUCGGCCACACUGGAACUGAGACACGGUCCAGACUCCUACGGGAGGCAGCAGUAGGGAAUCUUCCGCAAUGGGCGAAAGCCUGACGGAGCAACGCCGCGUGAGUGAAGAAGGUCUUCGGAUCGUAAAACUCUGUUAUUAGGGAAGAACAAAUGUGUAAGUAACUAUGCACGUCUUGACGGUACCUAAUCAGAAAGCCACGGCUAACUACGUG